RNAcentral lists this ribosomal RNA (406 nucleotides) under uncultured bacterium. Its description in RNAcentral is "partial 16S ribosomal RNA". It matches the Rfam family "Bacterial small subunit ribosomal RNA", at positions 30 to 526 of the family's 1533-position model. The record is from RNAcentral.
AUUGAACGCUGGCGGCAGGCCUAACACAUGCAAGUCGAACGAGUGGCGGACGGGUGAGUAAUGUCUGGGAAACUGCCUGCUGGAGGGGGAUAACUACUGGAAACGGUAGCUAAUACCGCAUACCAUCGGAUGUGCCCAGAUGGGAUUAGCGAGUAGGUGGGGUAAAGGCGCACCUAGGCGACGAUCCCUCGCUGGUCUGAGAGGAGGACAAGCCACACGAGAACUGAGACACGGUCCAGACUCCUACGGGAGGCAGCAGUGGGGAAUAUUGCACAAUGGGCGCAAGCCUGAUACAGCCAUGCCGCGUGUAUGAAGAAGGCCUUCGGGUUGUAAAGUGCUUUCAGCGGGGAGGCGUUACCCGCAGAAGAAGCACCGGCUAACUCCGUGCCAGCAGCCGCGGUAAUUC